RNAcentral lists this transfer RNA (61 nucleotides) under Ictidomys tridecemlineatus (thirteen-lined ground squirrel). RNAcentral's name for it is "Spermophilus tridecemlineatus (thirteen-lined ground squirrel) tRNA". It matches the Rfam family "tRNA", at positions 7 to 64 of the family's 71-position model. Rfam says of the family: Transfer RNA (tRNA) molecules are approximately 80 nucleotides in length. Their secondary structure includes four short double-helical elements and three loops (D, anti-codon, and T loops). Further hydrogen bonds mediate the characteristic L-shaped molecular structure. tRNAs have two regions of fundamental functional importance: the anti-codon, which is responsible for specific mRNA codon recognition, and the 3' end, to which the tRNAs corresponding amino acid is attached (by aminoacyl-tRNA synthetases). tRNAs cope with the degeneracy of the genetic code in two manners: having more than one tRNA (with a specific anti-codon) for a particular amino acid; and 'wobble' base-pairing, i.e. permitting non-standard base-pairing at the 3rd anti-codon position. Lineage: Eukaryota; Metazoa; Chordata; Mammalia; Rodentia; Sciuridae. The record is from Rfam by way of RNAcentral.
AUGACAGAACCCGGUAAUUGUGUAAGACUUAAAACUUUAUAACAGAGGUUCAAUUCCUCUU